Molecule: long non-coding RNA, 981 nt
Filed under: Triticum aestivum (bread wheat)
Lineage: Eukaryota; Viridiplantae; Streptophyta; Magnoliopsida; Poales; Poaceae
Description: long non-coding RNA (TAES_LNC014258)
Source: RNAcentral
UGCCUUCAUAAAGUUUUGUACUAUUUUCAUAACCUUCAAAUUCACAUGUACACAAAGUUAUUCAAGGAUUCAUACAAACUACCAGCUAGUUAAACAUAAAGUUCUAUUAAUAUCAAUAUGGCAAGAAAAAGCAUUCUCUUUUACAUACAACAAUAAAGUUCUUCAGCAAUUUAUACAAAGAGACCGCUUUGUAGAAACAGAGUUCUUUGUAAAAAGAUAAAGUCCUUCAUCAAUUUUCAGCAAAGGACGAUCCGGACAUCCAAAAAGUUCUUGUACAAAUCUGCCCAAAAAAAUUCAAUCUAUGCUGAGAACUUGGAAAUAAAGCAUGUCUAUACAAAGGGAUUUCACCUGUCAGUGCAAACAAAAUAAACUGCAGCUUAUUUUAUCAGAGAGCUGAAAGGUAGCCUUAACACAGACAAAACUUUGUCCAGCUUGUAGUCAAAUCCCAACAAACAAUCAGAGGGCCUAAAUUGUGCUAGCCUUUUUGUGGACACAAAUCGAUCAAGGUAGCGCAUGCAAGUUCAUCACAGAGAACAGAAGACCAAGAUUAAACAUGGUGGAUCCAUGUGCUACUAGAUCCAUCACGCAACAAUCAAUAUUACACUGCUGCAAAUAAAUCCUAAUCACCUUAAACUACAGAUCCAUUGGCAAGCAAGAAGAGGCAAUCCCAGCUCGCGAGCUUGAGGAGGAGGCACAAGACAGCCUGUUCGUCGCCGGAUCUGGUGCCAGGAGACGUCGGGAGGCUUGGUGAGUGCGGACUUCCCAGAUCCGCAGCGAGCUGGGUGACGGCGAGCGAGCCGGGACACCGCGAGGCACGCCGUGGUAUGGAGGAGCUAAUCUGGCCGGAGGCCUCCAGAUCGGGAGGGCCGCCGGCUGUGGGGGAGGGGACGGGAGGAGGACCGGCUGGAUUCUCAGAGAUAAUGAGAGAGAGAGAGAGAAUGGAGGCGUCGGGCAGUAGCCUAGGUACAUAUUUGAUUUGUA